Molecule: transfer RNA, 71 nt
Filed under: Vibrio cholerae
Lineage: Bacteria; Pseudomonadati; Pseudomonadota; Gammaproteobacteria; Vibrionales; Vibrionaceae
Description: tRNA-Gly
Rfam family: tRNA (bases 4-60)
About the family: Transfer RNA (tRNA) molecules are approximately 80 nucleotides in length. Their secondary structure includes four short double-helical elements and three loops (D, anti-codon, and T loops). Further hydrogen bonds mediate the characteristic L-shaped molecular structure. tRNAs have two regions of fundamental functional importance: the anti-codon, which is responsible for specific mRNA codon recognition, and the 3' end, to which the tRNAs corresponding amino acid is attached (by aminoacyl-tRNA synthetases). tRNAs cope with the degeneracy of the genetic code in two manners: having more than one tRNA (with a specific anti-codon) for a particular amino acid; and 'wobble' base-pairing, i.e. permitting non-standard base-pairing at the 3rd anti-codon position.
Source: RNAcentral
GGGAGCUCAGUUGGUAGAGCGCAACCUUGCCAAGGUUGAGGUCACGAGUUCGAACCUCGUGUGUCGCUCCA